Molecule: ribosomal RNA, 465 nt
Filed under: Vreelandella stevensii
Lineage: Bacteria; Pseudomonadati; Pseudomonadota; Gammaproteobacteria; Oceanospirillales; Halomonadaceae
Description: partial 16S ribosomal RNA
Rfam family: Bacterial small subunit ribosomal RNA
Source: RNAcentral
CCUACGGGGGGCUGCAGUGGGGAAUAUUGGACAAUGGGGGCAACCCUGAUCCAGCCAUGCCGCGUGUGUGAAGAAGGCCCUCGGGUUGUAAAGCACUUUCAGUGAGGAAGAACGCCUGGUGGUUAAUACCCAUCAGGAAAGACAUCACUCACAGAAGAAGCACCGGCUAACUCCGUGCCAGCAGCCGCGGUAAUACGGAGGGUGCGAGCGUUAAUCGGAAUUACUGGGCGUAAAGCGCGCGUAGGUGGCUUGAUAAGCCGGUUGUGAAAGCCCCGGGCUCAACCUGGGAACGGCAUCCGGAACUGUCAAGCUAGAGUGCAGUAGAGGAAGGUAGAAUUCCCGGUGUAGCGGUGAAAUGCGUAGAGAUCGGGAGGAAUACCCGUGGCGAAGGCGGCCUUCUGGACUGACACUGACACUGAGGUGCGAAAGCGUGGGUAGCAAACAGGAUUAGAUACCCCAGUAGUC